This is a non-coding RNA of Drosophila melanogaster (fruit fly), 985 nucleotides long. The record is from Ensembl. NCBI's taxonomy places the organism in Eukaryota, Metazoa, Arthropoda, Insecta, Diptera, Drosophilidae.
GGUGACAUGAGAUAAAAUAAUGAUGAGAACUACAUUCCACGCUUGCAAGUAGAGAAUACGACUUCAUUUCAUUUGUAACAUUUAUUGAAAUAUUUGUUUAAGCACUUCGAAUCCUAUGUCUUUUCAUAAUACUUGCUUUUUUACAUUUUUGAACAAAGAUACGGAACAUAACAGAAGACCUAAAGGAAAAAGUUGACGAAAACGAAGACAAUGUGUGACAUAUACAUGGAUACACAAGUAGACCGAAGUACAUUUAAAGGCAUUCACGGAAUUCUCGUUACGAACAUACAUAAAUCAAAUCGAGUACUAAACACUGAUAAUAGAAAGAAAAACAAGUAAACCGAAUAUCAAUCAACAUCAAUUAAAAACAAAUUCAGUCCAGUGAUUACUUCUCGUGCUGCGAGUGCAUAACUAUAGCAAAUCCCAGUAAAUUUCAAUGUGGCAUGCCCCUCAUUUCGAAUGGCAUUCCCCAUCCAUUGCUUUUAGAAUACAUAUAUGCGCAGCAGUCGCGAUCAAUUGUUGUAGUUCUGCCUGCCGCCCAGCUCGAGGAGAUAUCGAUCCGGAUGGUCCAUCCAGUCGGCGGCCGUGAGCUUCACUGUCCGCUGCCGUUCGGCCUCCUUGAUUUGCCACUUCUUGAUGUCCAAUUGCACUUCGCGUGAUGAUUUGUCGCCGCAGCCCCACACCUGCGGAUGAGAUCGAAGAAAAGAUGGCGAGCAACGUGUAGUUCUUGUUGUUGGUUGACUGUUGUUGGGUAUGGAGAAUCGUAGACUUAGUUUAAAUGCAUCGCUAGAGCACACACCUGGCCAUUUGGAGCCAUACGUGUGCUGUUUUUAACAGCUUAGACUGGAGAUAAUGCCGUUUAUAACGAUAUACGUCUAUGAAUUUUACACUAUAUACCAUAUAUGCAUAUACACAUAUAUAACAUAUACCCUGUUGAAUAAGGCUUAUUGUACAUGAAUGCGAUUAAAGUACAGAGAAAUAUUCG